GUUUUUUUUUUUGGUUUUUGCUU
This 23-nucleotide small RNA is filed under the name Arabidopsis thaliana (thale cress). Its description in RNAcentral is "ATSL241300". Lineage: Eukaryota; Viridiplantae; Streptophyta; Magnoliopsida; Brassicales; Brassicaceae. The record is from RNAcentral.